GGUCUCGUAGCUCAGAUGGUUAGAGCAUUGGCUGUACUAGAGCCUUCGCCCUGCCACCAUGGGUUCGAAUCCCACCAAGGCUG
RNAcentral lists this transfer RNA (83 nucleotides) under Schistocephalus solidus. It matches the Rfam family "tRNA". From Rfam's summary of the family: Transfer RNA (tRNA) molecules are approximately 80 nucleotides in length. Their secondary structure includes four short double-helical elements and three loops (D, anti-codon, and T loops). Further hydrogen bonds mediate the characteristic L-shaped molecular structure. tRNAs have two regions of fundamental functional importance: the anti-codon, which is responsible for specific mRNA codon recognition, and the 3' end, to which the tRNAs corresponding amino acid is attached (by aminoacyl-tRNA synthetases). tRNAs cope with the degeneracy of the genetic code in two manners: having more than one tRNA (with a specific anti-codon) for a particular amino acid; and 'wobble' base-pairing, i.e. permitting non-standard base-pairing at the 3rd anti-codon position. Lineage: Eukaryota; Metazoa; Platyhelminthes; Cestoda; Diphyllobothriidea; Diphyllobothriidae. The record is from Rfam by way of RNAcentral.